AUUCUAUCCCAGUUAGAAAUAGCACAGUAAGAAAUAACACUCUAGGAAAGCCAAGUGGACUAAGGCAGACCUCCGGCGAUCCGGCGGCCGACGGUUGCUAUCGCUCCCAUGCCGGAAUAUGGGCAUAUACCUACGUAUGAAUGUACUCGACUAGAGCCAUAAAACCGUGAUCGAAGCGAAGAAAUAAUGGAAUUAUUUCAACAUCAUGUAUUACAGCAACAAUUUCAGGGGGUUGUAUUAGCCCAUGAUUGAUAAUCUGAAUUGCAAUAAAUUCUGCACACGAAUCGAUUGUCGAACCUUUGCCAUGAGUCCAUAAAUUAAGCUGCAAACCGCAGAGAAACCCACGACGCAUCAAUUAUGGAUUUUAUCUCUCGAGAUAAAGAUCUGCAACUGAUACCCAGAAUAUAUCUUUUGAUCUGACCUCUAACACUGAGAUCUGCAUGCAUUUAUGUUUAUUUACAUGACUGUAUCUGGGCUGCCUUUCUUAGUGUGGGGCGACUAUCGUUGGUAUCGCCGCUACUGGGUGAUAACGCUCUUUCCCAUUGCCCAUAGAUAAGCGCACUUUCCUAUCGCCGCGUCGGGGGAUUAGGUGCGAUUUUCUUU
This 603-nucleotide long non-coding RNA is filed under the name Drosophila melanogaster (fruit fly). RNAcentral describes it as "long non-coding RNA:CR45215 (Dmel_CR45215)". Lineage: Eukaryota; Metazoa; Arthropoda; Insecta; Diptera; Drosophilidae. The record is from RNAcentral.